Molecule: ribosomal RNA, 254 nt
Filed under: uncultured bacterium
Lineage: Bacteria
Description: partial 16S ribosomal RNA
Rfam family: Bacterial small subunit ribosomal RNA
Source: RNAcentral
UACGAAGGGGGCUAGCGUUGUUCGGAUUUACUGGGCGUAAAGCGCACGUAGGCGGAUCUUUAAGUCAGAGGUGAAAUCCCAAGGCUCAACCUUGGAACUGCCUUUGAUACUGGGGAUCUUGAGUCCGGGAGAGGUGAGUGGAAUUCCCGGUGUAGCGGUGAAAUGCGCAGAUAUCGGGAGGAACACCAAUGGCGAAGGCAGCUUGCUGGGACGGUACUGACGCUGAGACGCGAAAGCGUGGGGAGCAAACAGGG